GGCGCUGUGGCACAGCAGGUUAAUGCCCUGGCCUGAAGCACCAGCAUCCCAUAUAGGCACAGGUUCUAGUCCUGGCUGCUCCU
Non-coding RNA from Oryctolagus cuniculus (rabbit), 83 nucleotides. The record is from Rfam. NCBI's taxonomy places the organism in Eukaryota, Metazoa, Chordata, Mammalia, Lagomorpha, Leporidae.